GGCGGUUUGUCCGAGUGGUUAAGGAGUUGGACUUGAAAUCCAAUGGGCUCUGCCCGCGCAGGUUCGAACCCUGCAGCCGUCG
Molecule: non-coding RNA, 82 nt
Organism: Eimeria maxima
Lineage: Eukaryota; Apicomplexa; Conoidasida; Eucoccidiorida; Eimeriidae
Source: Rfam